This 782-nucleotide long non-coding RNA is filed under the name Bos indicus x Bos taurus (hybrid cattle). RNAcentral describes it as "lncRNA (ENSBIXG00005022018.1)". The record is from RNAcentral. Lineage: Eukaryota; Metazoa; Chordata; Mammalia; Artiodactyla; Bovidae.
CCUACCGCCACUUCAAGUCAGAGUAACCAGUUUCCUUUCCAGGCUCGGCUAAGAAGCCUUACAGGAAAUAGGAAGUGGACCCUGGCAAUGGACUCAGGCUGCUUUGCUGAAUGCGUUCAGUCCAAGGUGCAGCAGCUUCUUCAAGUGGCCAAUAUUCAUCAAGUUUUUCUAGUAGCCUCACAUUACAAUAGGCUGCAGAGACUACCAAGGAUGGCCUAGUUGUGAUGUCUGUGUGCCAAGUUCUUCCCUCCAGCCCAGACAUUUCCUGAACUCAACACCAGCUUGUCCAUCUGCCUCUAGAUGUUUCUGUGUGGAUAUACUGCCAACUUGUUCAUCUCGGUUUUUGAGUUGGUGUUGAAGUGCUCCAUUGACGGAACCCCAAGCAGUGCUUCUAGCCCUUUUUCUCUACUUCUACUAUACCCUGGAUUUCAGGCCAAGCAGAUGGCUCAUCCGUCCCUCAAGAGGUCGCCAUUCUUUCCUCUUCUCUUUGAAGAAGAUUCCUCACACCCAGAAAAACCAUCCUUCUGUCAGAUGGAGAAGGCUCUGCCUCCAGGGUUCUGCCAAACCAUCCACAAGAGCAAGACAAAUGGCAAGACCCAAGACUCCAAGCCACAGGACUCUCUCAUUUCUAAGAAUUCUGAAAGUGAGGGCUCAAGGGAAAUAGUCCGAACUCACUGACCUCUGGAGUAGUCAAACAACCCACCCUUUGAUUUGCUUGGUCAGUUCCCACUUAAUGCCAUUGAGAAAAUAAAAAUCCCUUUCUAGAGGAAAUGAAAGGAAAA